AUGGCGAGGCAGAUCAGCGGCAGGAACAUAACUGUACAACCAAGCACAAGGCUGAGGGGGGAAGAAUCUGCAGAAGAAGGAAAUAGAUCAGAGGAAGAUUCAGGGAGUGUUGAAUGCGGUACAGUACUAGUGAAGCACCGAUUGAACAAGCUGAUCAAGAAAGAUAUCACAAUCAACAAAACACACAACAAGGUGUUUAACUUGAUAUCGUUUGUAUUGAUGAAACUGAAAAUCCAGAUCAAUCACUCUGAAACAAUUGGCAGCGCACAAUGCAUCCCAGGAGAGCAACAAAGAUAUAACUCACCCCUAGAAAUGAUGGAAAGAGCAAAACCAGGGAAAGAGCAUGCCGAGGUUUGUCCAGGCUCCCCUGAGAAUGUCAUUGAGAUGCUGGAGCACCAAGAGCCAAAAACUCCGAGACCAGUGCCAGGCACGUCACUUGAACCGAUAUCACAAGAGGAAAACUAUAAAAAGCAAGAGCAGCCCAGUCAUGUGUCUGUUUUUGAUCUGUUCAUCCUUGAAGAUGUCGACAGCGCUGAAAAUAAGAGCAUGAUAAAAUGCAAUAUUCAAUUGACAGAAAGUGAGUUGCACAAACAUGUCUUGAUGCCCCAGUACUACCAAGAAGAGAUCUUCUGGGAGGACAAGGAUGUCAGGUUAGGUUACAUAGAAAGCUAUCAGGACUAUGCACAUACCAGAACUUAG
RNAcentral lists this ribosomal RNA (699 nucleotides) under Triticum aestivum (bread wheat). Its description in RNAcentral is "partial small subunit ribosomal RNA". The record is from RNAcentral. Lineage: Eukaryota; Viridiplantae; Streptophyta; Magnoliopsida; Poales; Poaceae.